This 216-nucleotide ribosomal RNA is filed under the name Glomeromycotina sp. RNAcentral's name for it is "partial small subunit ribosomal RNA". The stretch from base 75 to 216 matches the Rfam family "Eukaryotic small subunit ribosomal RNA", at positions 721 to 864 of the family's 1831-position model. The record is from RNAcentral. Lineage: Eukaryota; Fungi; Glomeromycota.
GGGUCAGUAGGUUGGUCGUGCCACCGGUACGUACUGGUCUCACUGAUUCCUCCUUCCCGAAGAACCGUAAUGCCAUUAAUUUGGUGUUGCGGGGAAGCAGGACUGUUACUUUGAAAAAAUUAGAGUGUUUAAAGCAAGCUAACGCUUGAAUACAUUAGCAUGGAAUAAUGAAAUAGGACGAUCGAUCCUAUUUUGUUGGUUUCUAGGAUUGACGUG